This 253-nucleotide ribosomal RNA is filed under the name uncultured bacterium. Its description in RNAcentral is "partial 16S ribosomal RNA". It matches the Rfam family "Bacterial small subunit ribosomal RNA", at positions 524 to 776 of the family's 1533-position model. The record is from RNAcentral.
UACGUAGGGACCAAGCGUUGUUCGGAUUUACUGGGCGUAAAGGGCGCGUAGGCGGCAAUUCAAGUCAUCUGUGAAAUCUCCGGGCUUAACUCGGAACGGUCAGAUGAUACUGCUUUGCUAGAGUGCAGAAGGGGCAAUCGGAAUUCUUGGUGUAGCGGUGAAAUGCGUAGAUAUCGGGAGGAACACCAGUGGCGAAGGCGGCGAUCUGGGAAGAUACUGACGCUGAGGUGCGAAAGCGUGGGGAGCAAACAGG